AUUCUUCUCAUCGCUACAGAAAGCUUCUCCGCCACCAUCUCUGCACGCCACCAUCUCCGCCACCUUCCCGUGGCGUCGCCUCUAUCCCUCGCCGCACUCGUUACUUCCCCCGGCCGCUGCCGUGGAGUCCGAUUUCAAAAAUGAAUUCAGGAAAAGAAGUCAAAAAACGUAAUGUAACAGUGCCCUAACUUCUUCUCACUGCACAAAGCUUUUCCGCUACCAUCUCUGCGCGCCACCAUCUCCGCCACCUUCUAGCGGCGUCGCCUUCAUCCCUCGCCGCACUCAUUACUUCCCCCGCUGCCGUGAGGUCAGAUUUCGUAGGAAAGAUUUCAAAGUCAUAUUCGUCGCCCUUUUUAGUUCCACAGGUAUUUAUUUGUACUUCCUGCUCUUAAUGUUGUGCCUUGGAUUUUCUUUCUUUAGUGAAUGCCUCGCCCUGUAACUGUACUGCAUUUUCCAAUCUUUACUUGUCAAGUUUGAAUAUUUUGCCUUCCUCUAAUUCGCCCUAUGGUAGCAUUAGGUUUGUUGAGGGAAGUUUUGAAUAGUGUAAAUAGGUUUUAAGAUUGAUGAAAACUCAUAGCAGGUAUCCACGAAACAGAACAAUCGGCCUUGCUCUGCUGUGUUUCACCGCUGCUCUGGGUUUUCGGUCUGCCGUGCUUUGUUUGCAGCUCUCUCAGUCUUUCUCUGGUCUGCCGUGCUUCGUCGCCUCUGAGUCUAAG
RNAcentral lists this long non-coding RNA (716 nucleotides) under Salvia miltiorrhiza (redroot sage). RNAcentral describes it as "long non-coding RNA (SMIL_LNC001885)". The record is from RNAcentral. Lineage: Eukaryota; Viridiplantae; Streptophyta; Magnoliopsida; Lamiales; Lamiaceae.